Molecule: ribosomal RNA, 275 nt
Filed under: uncultured prokaryote
Description: partial 16S ribosomal RNA
Rfam family: Bacterial small subunit ribosomal RNA
Source: RNAcentral
UACGGAGGAUCCGAGCGUUAUCCGGAUUUAUUGGGUUUAAAGGGUGCGCAGGCGGGAGAUUAAGUCGGCGGUGAAAUUUUGCAGCUCAACUGUAAAAGUGCCUUCGAAACUGGUUUCCUUGAGUGUAGAUGAAGUAGGCGGAAUUUGUGGUGUAGCGGUGAAAUGCAUAGAUAUCACGAGGAACUCCGAUCGCGUAGGCAGCUUACUAGGCCAUAACUGACGCUCAUGCACGAAGGCGUGGGGAUCAAACAGGAUUAGAUACCCGGGUAGUCCCU